This 433-nucleotide ribosomal RNA is filed under the name uncultured bacterium. RNAcentral's name for it is "partial 16S ribosomal RNA". It matches the Rfam family "Bacterial small subunit ribosomal RNA", at positions 29 to 507 of the family's 1533-position model. The record is from RNAcentral.
AACGAACGCUGGCGGCAUGCCUAACACAUGCAAGUCGAACGAGACCUUCGGGUCUAGUGGCGCACGGGUGCGUAACGCGUGGGAACCUUCCCUUAGGUUCGGAAUAACUCCCCGUAAGGGGUGCUAAUACCGGUUAAUGUCUUCGGACCAAAGAUUUAUCGCCUUUGGAUGGGCCCGCGUUGGAUUAGCUAGUUGGUAGGGUAAAAGCCUACCAAGGCGACGAUCCAUAGCUGGUCUGAGAGGAUGAUCAGCCACACUGGGACUGAGACACGGCCCAGACUCCGACGGGAGGCAGGAGUGGGGAAUAGUGGAAAAGGGGGGAAAGCCUGAUACAGCAAUGCCGCGUGAGUGAUGAAGGCAUUAGGGUAGUAAAGCGCUUUUAACCGGGAUGAUAAUGACAGUACCGGGAGAAUAAGCUCCGGCUAACUCCGUG